This 253-nucleotide ribosomal RNA is filed under the name uncultured bacterium. RNAcentral's name for it is "partial 16S ribosomal RNA". It matches the Rfam family "Bacterial small subunit ribosomal RNA", at positions 524 to 776 of the family's 1533-position model. The record is from RNAcentral.
UACAGAGGGUGCGAGCGUUGUUCGGAAUUAUUGGGCGUAAAGGGCGCGUAGGCGGGCUUUUAAGUCAGGGGUGAAAUCCUGGAGCUCAACUCCAGAACUGCCUUUGAUACUGAGGAUCUUGAGUUCGGGAGAGGUGAGUGGAACUGCGAGUGUAGAGGUGAAAUUCGUAGAUAUUCGCAAGAACACCAGUGGCGAAGGCGGCUCACUGGCCCGAUACUGACGCUGAGGCACGAAAGCGUGGGGAGCAAACAGG